GUGUCUGGUGUGUUUCCUAGAAUUGACGGCCGCGAAUUCGCCCUUGUGCCAGCAGCCGCGGUAAUUCCAGCUCCAAUAGCGUAUAUUAAAGUUGUUGCAGUUAAAAAGCUCGUAGUUGAACCUUGGGCCUGGUUGGCCGGUCCGCCUCACCGCGUGUACUGGUCCGACCGGGCCUUUCCUUCUGGGGAGCCGCAUGCCCUUCACUGGGCGUGUCGGGGAACCAGGACUUUUACUUUGAAAAAAUUAGAGUGUUCAAAGCAGGCCUUUGCUCGAAUACUUUAACAUGGAAUAAUAUAAUAGGACGUGCGGUUCUAUUUUGUUGGUUUCUAGGACCGCCGUAAUGAUUAAUAGGGAUAGUCGGGGGCAUCAGUAUUCAAUUGUCAGAGGUGAAAUUCUUGGAUUUAUUGAAGACUAACUACUGCGAAAGCAUUUGCCAAGGAUGUUUUCAUUAAUCAAUGAACGAAAGUUAGGGGAUCGAAGACGAUCAGAUACCGUCGUAGUCUUAACCAUAAACUAUGCCGACUAGGGAUCGGUGGAUGUUACUAUUUUGACUCCAUCGGCACCUUACGAGAAAUCAAAGUUUUUGGGUUCUGGGGGGGGUAUGGUCGCAAGGCUGAAACUUAGAGAAAUUGACGGAAGGGCACCACCAGGCGUGGAGCCUGCGGCGUAUUUUGACUCAACACGGGGAAACUCACCACGUCCAGACACGAUAACGAUUGACAGAUUGAGAGCUCUUUUCUUGAUUUUGUGGGUGGUGGUGCAUGCCGUUCUUAGUUGGUGGAGUGAUUGACUGCUUAAUUGCCAUACGAAUCGAGACCUCACCUGCUAACUAGUCAGCCCGCUGUGGCCGUCGACCCGCCUUCUUUAGAGAGGCACUAUUGUCCUCAGCCCGAU
This 894-nucleotide ribosomal RNA is filed under the name uncultured fungus. RNAcentral's name for it is "bacterial SSU rRNA". It matches the Rfam family "Eukaryotic small subunit ribosomal RNA", at positions 509 to 1438 of the family's 1831-position model. Lineage: Eukaryota; Fungi. The record is from RNAcentral.